RNAcentral lists this ribosomal RNA (908 nucleotides) under uncultured Bacillota bacterium. RNAcentral's name for it is "bacterial SSU rRNA". It matches the Rfam family "Bacterial small subunit ribosomal RNA", at positions 8 to 916 of the family's 1533-position model. Lineage: Bacteria; Bacillati; Bacillota. The record is from RNAcentral.
AGAGUUUGAUCCUGGCUCAGGAUGAACGCUGGCGGCGUGCCUAACACAUGCAAGUCGAGCGAGAUUUAGUGGAGUGGAGACUUCGGUCAAAGCGAAAUUAAUGAAAGCGGCGGACGGGUGAGUAACGCGUGAGCAAUCUGCCCCAUACAAAGGGAUACCCACUGGAAACGGUGAUUAAUACCUUAUAAGACCACAAGGCCGCAUGGCCCGGGGGUCAAAGAUUUAUCGGUAUGGGAUGAGCUCGCGUCUGAUUAGCUAGUUGGUGAGGUAAUGGCUCACCAAGGCGACGAUCAGUAGCCGACCUGAGAGGGUGAACGGCCACACUGGAACUGAGACACGGUCCAGACUCCUACGGGAGGCAGCAGUGGGGAAUAUUGCACAAUGGGCGCAAGCCUGAUGCAGCAACGCCGCGUGAAUGAUGAAGGCCUUCGGGUCGUAAAGUUCUGUCCAAAGGGAAGAAUACAGUGACGGUACCUUUAGAGGAAGCCCCGGCUAACUACGUGCCAGCAGCCGCGGUAAUACGUAGGGGGCAAGCGUUAUCCGGAAUCACUGGGCGUAAAGGGAGCGUAGGCGGUUUGACAAGCCAGAGGUGAAAGGCAAUAGCUUAACUAUUGUAAGCCUUUGGAACUGUCGAACUUGAGUGCAGGAGAGGAAAGUGGAAUUCCUAGUGUAGCGGUGAAAUGCGUAGAUAUUAGGAGGAACACCAGUGGCGAAGGCGACUUUCUGGACUGUAACUGACGCUGAGGCUCGAAAGCGUGGGGAGCGAACAGGAUUAGAUACCCUGGUAGUCCACGCUGUAAACGAUGAAUACUAGGUGUCUGGUGUCAAAGCUAGGUGCCGCAGCUAACGCAUUAAGUAUUCCGCCUGGGGAGUACGCACGCAAGUGUGAAACUCAAAGGAAUUGACGG